This 85-nucleotide transfer RNA is filed under the name Alphaproteobacteria bacterium. RNAcentral describes it as "tRNA-Leu". It matches the Rfam family "tRNA". From Rfam's summary of the family: Transfer RNA (tRNA) molecules are approximately 80 nucleotides in length. The record is from RNAcentral. Lineage: Bacteria; Pseudomonadati; Pseudomonadota; Alphaproteobacteria.
GCGGAUGUGGCGAAAUUGGUAGACGCGCCAGACUUAGGAUCUGGUGACUUAUGUCGUGGGGGUUCAAGUCCCUUCAUCCGCACCA